AUUGAACGCUGGCGGCAGGCCUAACACAUGCAAGUCGAGCGGCAGCGGGAAGUAGCUUGCUACUUUGCCGGCGAGCGGCGGACGGGUGAGUAAUGUCUGGGAAACUGCCUGAUGGAGGGGGAUAACUACUGGAAACGGUAGCUAAUACCGCAUGACCUCGCAAGAGCAAAGUGGGGGACCUUCGGGCCUCACGCCAUCGGAUGUGCCCAGAUGGGAUUAGCUAGUAGGUGAGGUAAUGGCUCACCUAGGCGACGAUCCCUAGCUGGUCUGAGAGGAUGACCAGCCACACUGGAACUGAGACACGGUCCAGACUCCUACGGGAGGCAGCAGUGGGGAAUAUUGCACAAUGGGCGCAAGCCUGAUGCAGCCAUGCCGCGUGUGUGAAGAAGGCCUUAGGGUUGUAAAGCACUUUCAGCGAGGAGGAAGGGUUCAGUGUUAAUAGCACUGUACAUUGACGUUACUCGCAGAAGAAGCACCGGCUAACUCCGUGCCAGCAGCCGCGGUAAUACGGAGGGUGCAAGCGUUAAUCGGAAUUACUGGGCGUAAAGCGCACACAGGCGGUCUGUUAAGUCAGAUGUGAAAUCCCCGGGCUCAACCUGGGAACUGCAUUUGAAACUGGCAGGCUUGAGUCUUGUAGAGGGGGGUAGAAUUCCAGGUGUAGCGGUGAAAUGCGUAGAGAUCUGGAGGAAUACCGGUGGCGGAGGCGGCCCCCUGGACAAAGACUGACGCUCAGGUGCGAAAGCGU
Molecule: ribosomal RNA, 745 nt
Filed under: uncultured bacterium
Lineage: Bacteria
Description: bacterial SSU rRNA
Rfam family: Bacterial small subunit ribosomal RNA
Source: RNAcentral